Long non-coding RNA from Apteryx haastii (Great spotted kiwi), 1676 nucleotides. The record is from Ensembl. NCBI's taxonomy places the organism in Eukaryota, Metazoa, Chordata, Aves, Apterygiformes, Apterygidae.
CCGUCCCGGCCGUCGCUCCGGGCUCCCCGGCGCCUCCCGGGACACCUGGGCCCUCUCCUUCGGUUCCCGGGGCGGGCGCCUCUCCCCGGACACCUGGGCCCUGCUCCGAGGCGGGUGGGGGGGAUCCCGGUCCCGUUCCCACGGCGGCGGUGGCGGCUCCGGCUCCCUCGGAAGCGGGGGGUGGUGGGUCCCCUCUGCCGGCGCCUGAGGCCUCGGCUCCCCCCGCGGACGGGGAGCCCUCCCGGACGCCUGGGCCCUCGGCGGCUCCCCGAGCUCCCGGAGCCGCCGCCGCCGUCGGAGCCGCCCGGACUCCUGGGCCCUCCCCGACAGCGGCGGCCACCACCGCCGCCGCCGCCACCACCGCCGCCGCUCCCCGAACUCCCGGCACCGCUAGCGUCCCCCGGACGCCGGGCUCCCUGCUCUCGCUGACGCCGGGCAGGGGGGCGGCGGUAGCGGGCGGGGCGUUACCCCGCACCCCUGGCUCCCUGCUCUCGUUGACGCCCGGGCGGGUGGUGCGAGCGUCACCCCGCACCCCCGGUUCCCUGCUCUCGUUGACGCCGGGCCGAGGCCUGGGCGCUUCCCCCCGUCUCCCCGGCGGCCCCUUCCCGCUGCUGCGGGGCGGCGCGGGGGGCGGCGGCGGUGGCGCCUUCGCCCGGACGCCUGGGUCCCCUUUCCUCGCCUUGCCCGCCCGCGCCGUGGGCAGCGCCAGCGCCUUCGCCCGCACGCCCGGCUCCCCUUUCCUGGCGACGCCGGGCCGGGGAGGAAGCGGAGGCGGCGGAGGCGGAAGCGCUUUCCCCGCCGGACGCCUGGGUCCCUGUAUCCAUCGGCUCCAGGGUAACAUGGCCAUGGGGUGCCCCGGACGCCUGGGCUCCUGCAUCCACCGGCUGCAGGGCAGCGUGGGGCUGGGGUGCCCCGGACGCCUGGGCUCCUGCAUCCACCGGCUCCAGGGGAACGUGGCCGUGGGUUGCUCCGGUCGCUUGGGUUCCUGUUACCACCGGCUCCAGGGAAGCAUGGGCACCGGCGGCUCCCGCUCGCCCUUUGCCGUGACCCCCGCCAUGGCGGCGGCGGCCAACACCUCCCGCCUCGCCGCCGCCAACAACAUGGCUGCCGGCGCCUCCCAGUACGACGGCAACAACAUGGCCGCCGCCGCCUCCCAGUACGCCGCCAACAACAUGGCCGCCGCCGCCUCCCAGUACGCCGCCGCCUCCCAGUACGGCGCCCAGUACGGCACCGCCGCCGCCUCCCAGUACGGCACCGCCGCCGCUUCCCAGUACGGCAUGGCGUCGGGCGCCGGCGCCGCUUCCCAGUACGGCGGCGCCCAAAUGGCCGCCGGGCAGUACGGGGCGGCGGCGGCGGGCGCCUCCCAGUACGGCGCCGGCGCCUCCCAGUACGCCGCCGGCGCUUCCCAGUACGCCGCCGACGCCUCCCAGUACGGCCUGGCCUCGGGGGCCGCCGACGCCUCCCAGUACGGCGCCCAGUACGGCGCCCAGUACGGCGCCGCCGCCUCCCAGUACGGAGCCCAGUACGGCGCCGACGGCUCCCAGUACGGCGCCCAGUACGGCGCCUGGGGCGACGCCUCCCAGGACGCCUGGGCCUCGGCGGCCGCCGCCGCCCCCGCCGCCGCCACCGGCGUCAGCUGGGGCAACUGGGUGACGCCGACGCCCUGAGCGGGGGGG